This is a non-coding RNA of Tritrichomonas musculus, 72 nucleotides long. Lineage: Eukaryota; Parabasalia; Tritrichomonadida; Tritrichomonadidae. The record is from the annotation of a GenBank genome assembly.
GUCCUGGUAAUUUAAUGGCUAGAAUGGAUUCCUAACCCGUAUCUUGAAGAGGUUCGAUUCCUCUCCGGGACA